RNAcentral lists this small RNA (78 nucleotides) under Rhizobium azibense. Its description in RNAcentral is "suhB". The stretch from base 1 to 69 matches the Rfam family "Alphaproteobacterial ar15", at positions 44 to 112 of the family's 112-position model. The record is from RNAcentral. Lineage: Bacteria; Pseudomonadati; Pseudomonadota; Alphaproteobacteria; Hyphomicrobiales; Rhizobiaceae.
AGCUGUUCCCCUCUGGAGGUUAUUGACCUUCACACUUUCAUGGGCCGCGGUUUCCGCUGGCCCAUUUUUUUGUCUCCC